Molecule: ribosomal RNA, 560 nt
Filed under: uncultured Alloactinosynnema sp.
Lineage: Bacteria; Bacillati; Actinomycetota; Actinomycetes; Pseudonocardiales; Pseudonocardiaceae
Description: bacterial SSU rRNA
Rfam family: Bacterial small subunit ribosomal RNA
Source: RNAcentral
AGGCAGCAGUGGGGAAUAUUGCACAAUGGGCGAAAGCCUGAUGCAGCGACGCCGCGUGAGGGAUGACGGCCUUCGGGUUGUAAACCUCUUUCAGCAGGGACGAAGCGCAAGUGACGGUACCUGCAGAAGAAGCACCGGCUAACUACGUGCCAGCAGCCGCGGUAAUACGUAGGGUGCGAGCGUUGUCCGGAAUUAUUGGGCGUAAAGAGCUCGUAGGCGGUUUGUUGCGUCGGCCGUGAAAACCUGGGGCUUAACCCUGGGCCUGCGGUCGAUACGGGCAGACUUGAGUUCGGUAGGGGAGACUGGAAUUCCUGGUGUAGCGGUGAAAUGCGCAGAUAUCAGGAGGAACACCGGUGGCGAAGGCGGGUCUCUGGGCCGAUACUGACGCUGAGGAGCGAAAGCGUGGGGAGCGAACAGGAUUAGAUACCCUGGUAGUCCACGCCGUAAACGUUGGGCGCUAGGUGUGGGGAACAUUCCACGUUCUCCGUGCCGUAGCUAACGCAUUAAGCGCCCCGCCUGGGGAGUACGGCCGCAAGGCUAAAACUCAAAGGAAUUGACGG